Molecule: long non-coding RNA, 362 nt
Organism: Monopterus albus (swamp eel)
Lineage: Eukaryota; Metazoa; Chordata; Actinopteri; Synbranchiformes; Synbranchidae
Exons: 3
Source: RefSeq, a predicted model, not a curated record
GUUCCUGGUAAAGAGGUCUGCCUCAAGGCACUUGAUGAAUCACAACUAGCACUUGGCAGUCGCAACUGGAAGGAUGUAAAGAACCACCAAAAAGGAGGCAAAAUGAUCCAAAUUACAUAUAUUUUAAAAGAUUCCAGUCCUUCAACCUUCAAUUUGAACAGUCCAGCGACUCCUGAGGACUCAGGCCUGCCUGUGUCAGGGCAGCCCUAAUGAAACUAGACAGAACCUUGAUGCCAUUAAUUCUGCAUUAAGCCAUGGCAUUACAUCUCAGGACCCUGAGAUCUUGGAGGAAUUUGGCAUACCACUGAAUGAUCCAGUACAACUGGAAUAAGCUUCAGCAAAGCUGAGGGACCAGAAAUAAA